This 1004-nucleotide ribosomal RNA is filed under the name Streptococcus constellatus. RNAcentral's name for it is "bacterial SSU rRNA". It matches the Rfam family "Bacterial small subunit ribosomal RNA", at positions 28 to 1004 of the family's 1533-position model. Lineage: Bacteria; Bacillati; Bacillota; Bacilli; Lactobacillales; Streptococcaceae. The record is from RNAcentral.
GACGGACGCUGGCGGCGUGCCUAAUACACGCCAGUAGGACGCACAGGAUGCACCGUAGUUUACUACACCGUAUUCUGUGAGUUGCGAACGGGUGAGUCACGCGUAGGUAACCUGCCUGGUAGCGGGGGAUAACUAUUGGAAACAGAUAGCUAAUACCGCAUAAGAACAUUUACUGCAUGGUAGAUGUUUAAAAGGUGCAAAAGCAUCACUACCAGAUGGACCUGUGUUGUAUUAGCUAGUUGGUGAGGUAACGGCUCACCAACGCAACGAUACAUAGCCGACCUGAGAGGGUGAUCGGCCACACUGGGACUGAGACACGGCCCAGACUCGUACGGGAGGCAGCAGUAGGGAAUCUCCGGCAAUGGCGGGGAACCCUGACCGAGCAACGCCGCGUGAGUGAAGAAGGUUUUCGGAUCGUAAAGCUCUGUUGUUAAGGAAGAACGUGUGUGAGAGUGGAAAGUUCACACAGUGACGGUACUUAACCAGAAAGGGACGGCUAACUACGUGCCAGCAGCCGCGGUAAUACGUAGGUCCCGAGCGUUGUCCGGAUUUAUUGGGCGUAAAGCGAGCGCAGGCGGUUAGAUAAGUCUGAAGUGAAAGGCAGUGGCUCAACCAUUGUAGGCUUUGGAAACUGUUUAACUUGAGUGCAGAAGGGGAGAGUGGAAUUCCAUGUGUAGCGGUGAAAUGCGUAGAUAUAUGGAGGAACACCGGUGGCGAAAGCGGCUCUCUGGUCUGUAACUGACGCUGAGGCUCGAAAGCGUGGGGAGCGAACAGGAUUAGAUACCCUGGUAGUCCACGCCGUAAACGAUGAGUGCUAGGUGUUAGGUCCUUUCCGGGACUUAGUGCCGCAGCUAACGCAUUAAGCACUCCGCCUGGGGAGUACGACCGCAAGGUUGAAACUCAAAGGAAUAGACGGGGGCCGCACAAGCGGUGGAGCAUGUGGUUUAAUUCGAAGCAACGCGAAGAACCUUACCAGGUCUUGACAUCCCUCUGACCACUCUAGA